RNAcentral lists this ribosomal RNA (431 nucleotides) under uncultured bacterium. RNAcentral describes it as "partial 16S ribosomal RNA". It matches the Rfam family "Bacterial small subunit ribosomal RNA", at positions 338 to 795 of the family's 1533-position model. The record is from RNAcentral.
CCUACGGGUGGCAGCAGUGGGGAAUUUUGGACAAUGGGGGCAACCCUGAUCCAGCAAUGCCGCGUGUGUGAAGAAGGCCUUCGGGUUGUAAAGCACUUUUGUCCGGAAAGCGGUACCGGAAGAAUAAGGACCGGCUAACUACGUGCCAGCAGCCGCGGUAAUACGUAGGGUCCAAGCGUUAAUCGGAAUUACUGGGCGUAAAGCGUGCGCAGGCGGUUGUGCAAGACCGAUGUGAAAUCCCCGGGCUUAACCUGGGAAUUGCAUUGGUGACUGCACGGCUAGAGUGUGUCAGAGGGGGGUAGAAUUCCACGUGUAGCAGUGAAAUGCGUAGAGAUGUGGAGGAAUACCGAUGGCGAAGGCAGCCCCCUGGAUACACUGACGCUCAUGCACGAAAGCGUGGGGAGCAAACAGGAUUAGAUACCCUUGUAGUC